Molecule: unclassified non-coding RNA, 2121 nt
Filed under: Hevea brasiliensis (rubber tree)
Lineage: Eukaryota; Viridiplantae; Streptophyta; Magnoliopsida; Malpighiales; Euphorbiaceae
Source: RNAcentral
GAGCAAUUGUGUGUCCUGACCAACUGAACCAAACCGGUAAACAACAUUUUCCUCUGUGUCAUCUGAAGUUGGUGAUGACCAAUAUGAAUCAAAAGUCACUCCACUUACCCAGGAGUUGUGCCCUUCACCCCAUGCCACGACCUUCCGAUCUUCCAUACUCCAAACUUGAACUAAAUCAUCUUCACCUCCAGUCAAAAUGUAUUUGCCAUCCAUGCUCCAAGCACAACAUAGUAGAGCACCAUAAUAACUUUUCCCACCACAAACUAGCUGUUCUCUGGAAUAAUCAAAAACUCGUAAAUAACCAUCUCUUCCAACAGUUGCUAAGUAUGCCCCAUCCAUUGAGAACGUGAUGCUAUUGAUUGAACCUUGGCAAAUAUGCCAUCUGGCAAUAGGAUUACUCUACAUAUAGUUUAUAAAAGUCAGAAAAUGAUACAUGGAGUUUGAAGCAGGAGAGUAAUUUUUCAACCCAGAUAAAUAUGCUUCCCUAAUGCUCGUGCAACCCAUCAUUAAUUACAAAAAUUAGCUAACCUGUUGCAGGGACAUCAAAAUAUCCCCGAAUACACAUCUUAUAGGAAACAAAUAAACAACACAAGCUUUAUUCCCCUACUAUAACCUACUUUGUCAGCAGCAAACAUGCAUGAGAUCCAUAUGCAAAAAAGACAAUAGCCAUACUUGGAAUGGCACCAUUCAUAUAAUGCAGAAAGGCAAGGACACGUACAGGAACAACUCAGAAAAGCAGCAACUCAAGCAAAUGUUGCCAUGUUCAUUAAAAAGAAAAGAGGGAAAAAAAGCACUCAACCACAAAUAGGUCAUAAAUGUAAUAGUUACUUCUUCAACACCAGCCAUACAUGAUUACCAUAGUUUUCAGAACCGGACUGGACUGCCCAGUCGGACCAGAUUAACAGUUCUCAAGAAAAAAUUGCUUUUGCAUUUCAGUAUAGAUUGCUCAAUGGCAAUUUGAAAUUAAUUUUAGGAAGCAUCGAUCACGAUAAGAACAUAAACAAAGUGUUUCUAUUUAAAACUAGACAUCAAGUGUUGUACCUUACUAUAACGCGCAUGUGCAACAGAAAAUAGAGUUAGAUCUUUGAUAAUGGGGAAUGAAGAAUCACCUGCACCAUCCUUGCUCUUCUCAUACACGUACACAUUCCCAUCGACAUGAGCAACAACAAAAGCACCAUCACCUCCAGGCACCCAUGCAAUACUCGUACAUCGACUGUUAUUAACAGAACCAUCUUUGUUAUAAUGCUGGGCCCCAACAAGCUUCUUUCCAACAUCCUGUAAUUGCUGUCUCAGUGACACUGAGUAGACAUCACCAGAACUCAACCCAAUAAGCAAAUCAUGUCCAUCCUUAGCAUCUUGAUCAAAGGCAUGGCAAACAGGAUUUGAAUUACUAAAAUGUAUUGAUUUUAUGGGAUCCUUAUCUUGAGAGUUUAAAUCACUUAUAAAGAUUGUGUCCCCCACAUUGAAAACCAAGUAAGUCCCUUUUCCAUCAAAAUUUGGAUUGAUCAUUGAACUACUUGAAGAACCCAAUGACCCAAUUCUACUACUGCCGCUAACACUUUUACUCCCACCAUUCCCUCCAACAAUGCUAAGAGCACGGCUUCCAUUGCUAGCCCCCAACAACCUGGCUGCAGCAGAUCUUACCCCACUGCUAGCAAUGAAGCUUGAAGGUGGGGCCGUAGGGGUUGAUGGGGCUGGCUUGUCCUUGAGAUUAGCGAGGGUUACCUGAGUAACGGUUUUGCCAUGGGCAUAAUGAAGCAGACCUGAAGGGUGUGUCUUCUCGUAUUGGAGCUUAUAACGCCCCUCCGGGGUUUUGAAAUAGGUCUUUAGGCCCGGUGACUGCGCGUUCCCCGGUGCCGAUGAGCUCGAAAUCAUGCCGUUGGUCGUAUUGAUCAUGGUUCCGCCUAUUACCAUAGAACCAAGAGCAUGUGAUCAUGACACAAUGGUUUGUACUCUCUUUUGGUUAAUUUUUGUGUUUUGAGGUGGUGGUCGGGAUUUUUCGAAGAGAAAGGUGUGUUUUUGCUCUGCUUUUUGCUAUGCUCUGAGCUCUUUUUCUGGGUCUUCAAUGGAAAGAUCAAAGGCGGGUUUGGAUCCUCUGAUUUGCGGCUUACAAAAACGUCG